CGAACGGGUGAGUAACGCGUGAGGAACCUGCCUCAAAGAGGGGGACAACAGUUGGAAACGACUGCUAAUACCGCAUAAGCCCACGGUGCCGCAUGGCACAGAGGGAAAAGGAGCAAUCCGCUUUGAGAUGGCCUCGCGUCCGAUUAGCUAGUUGGUGAGGUAACGGCCCACCAAGGCAACGAUCGGUAGCCGGACUGAGAGGUUGAACGGCCACAUUGGGACUGAGACACGGCCCAG
This 237-nucleotide ribosomal RNA is filed under the name uncultured bacterium. RNAcentral describes it as "partial 16S ribosomal RNA". It matches the Rfam family "Bacterial small subunit ribosomal RNA", at positions 99 to 334 of the family's 1533-position model. The record is from RNAcentral.